UGAACCUGCGGAGGGAUCAUUACAAGUGACCCCGGCUACGGCCGGGAUGUUCAUAACCCUUUGUUGUCCGACUCUGUUGCCUCCGGGGCGACCCUGCCUUCGGGCGGGGGCUCCGGGUGGACACUUCAAACUCUUGCGUAACUUUGCAGUCUGAGUAAACUUAAUUAAUAAAUUAAAACUUUUAACAACGGAUCUCUUGGUUCUGGCAUCGAUGAAGAACGCAGCGAAAUGCGAUAAGUAAUGUGAAUUGCAGAAUUCAGUGAAUCAUCGAAUCUUUGAACGCACAUUGCGCCCCCUGGUAUUCCGGGGGGCAUGCCUGUUCGAGCGUCAUUUCACCACUCAAGCCUCGCUUGGUAUUGGGCAACGCGGUCCGCCGCGUGCCUCAAAUCGUCCGGCUGGGUCUUCUGUCCCCUAAGCGUUGUGGAAACUAUUCGCUAAAGGGUGUUCGGGAGGCUACGCCGUAAAACAACCCCAUUUCUAAGGUUGACCUCGGAUCAGGUAGGGAUACCCGCUGAACUUAAGCAUAUCAAUAA
RNAcentral lists this unclassified non-coding RNA (533 nucleotides) under Cladosporium sphaerospermum. RNAcentral's name for it is "sequence contains ITS1, 5.8S rRNA gene, ITS2". The stretch from base 177 to 330 matches the Rfam family "5.8S ribosomal RNA". Lineage: Eukaryota; Fungi; Ascomycota; Dothideomycetes; Cladosporiales; Cladosporiaceae. The record is from RNAcentral.